UACGUAGGGACCGAGCGUUGUCCGGAUUCAUUGGGCGUAAAGAGCUCGUAGGCGGCUGCUCAAGUCGAAUGUGAAAACUCGAGGCUCAACCUCGAGCCUGCAUUCGAUACUGGGCGGCUAGAGUCUGGUAGGGGGAUCUGGAAUUCCUGGUGUAGCGGUGAAAUGCGCAGAUAUCAGGAGGAACACCUAUUGCGAAGGCAGCUCGCUGGGACGUUACUGACGCUGAGACGCGAAAGCGUGGGGAGCGAACGGG
This 253-nucleotide ribosomal RNA is filed under the name uncultured bacterium. RNAcentral describes it as "partial 16S ribosomal RNA". It matches the Rfam family "Bacterial small subunit ribosomal RNA", at positions 524 to 776 of the family's 1533-position model. The record is from RNAcentral.